GCGGGAAUAGCUCAGUGGUAGAGCACGACCUUGCCAAGGUCGGGGUCGCGAGUUCGAAUCUCGUUUCCCGCU
Molecule: transfer RNA, 72 nt
Filed under: Bacteroidota bacterium
Lineage: Bacteria; Pseudomonadati; Bacteroidota
Also listed under: 2 other names
Description: Bacteroidetes bacterium tRNA-Gly
Rfam family: tRNA
About the family: Transfer RNA (tRNA) molecules are approximately 80 nucleotides in length. Their secondary structure includes four short double-helical elements and three loops (D, anti-codon, and T loops).
Source: RNAcentral